UUCGCGAAGCACCCCAGCAUUUUUCAAACACAUGAUGAAAAACCAGUCAAGUCGUCAAAUGAUAAACAGCUAAAGUUCACUGCUUGGGGAAAAGACAUGUGUGAGUGUGUGUGUGUGUGUGUGUGUGUGUGUGUGUGUAGAGAGAGUGUGGGGAGAGAGAGAGAGAGAGAGAGAGAGAGAGAGAGAGAGAGAGAGAAUGGAAAGACAAAGAGUGUGUGGAAAGACAGAGAGUGUGUGUGUGCAUGUGUGUGGAGAGAAAGUGUGUGGAGAGAGAGAGAGAGUGUGUGGAGUGUGUGUGUGUGUGUGUGUGGGAAAGAGAGAGAGAGAGAGAGA
Long non-coding RNA from Ictalurus punctatus (channel catfish), 333 nucleotides. RefSeq lists it as uncharacterized. The transcript is spliced from 2 exons. The record is from RefSeq and is a predicted model, not a curated record. Lineage: Eukaryota; Metazoa; Chordata; Actinopteri; Siluriformes; Ictaluridae.